RNAcentral lists this long non-coding RNA (2102 nucleotides) under Lynx pardinus (Iberian lynx). Lineage: Eukaryota; Metazoa; Chordata; Mammalia; Carnivora; Felidae. The record is from RNAcentral.
AGAAGGCGCUCAGCCUUCUCCGCGCAGGCUGGCACUUGCGUAAGUGGAGGUGGCGGUUGGGUCGCGGUUGGCCAGAUGCUCCCAGCAGUUGCUCUGACCCUGCCCCGCCCUCACCUGGGCCUGUGAGUCACCGAUGGGGGGCGGGGAGGGCAGGGGAUCUGGGAGUGAGGUGCCGCCACCUGCCUGUUGAUAGGACGUAGCCUUGGGGUCACUGUGUCAGAGCGGGAAUGUGCAAACGGGGACACUCUGCCCCCGGCCGGGACGGCAAAGAGGCCACCCCGCCCCCCGGGCCAGCUCUGGUCAACGGCCGGGCCCCCGAGGGGCCUCUGGGCUUGGUUCUCGAGCAGUGGGACGCUUGGCGGUGUCUGGAGACAUUCUGUCCAUCACGGUUUGCGGGGGGGGGGGGGGGGGGGGUGCGGCUACUGGCUUCUAGAGGGUCCAGGUCAGCGGUGCCGUCCAACAUCCUUCAAAGCACAGGUCGGGCCCCCAACACAGACAUCCACGAAGAAUGACCUGGCCCCAGAUGUCCACAGCCCCCCGUGAGAAACCGGCUUGGGGGCAAAAGGAGCUGCCGUCCGUUCCUUCUGCUUCUCACGUCUGCCCUUGGCACCUGGGCUGUUCACUUGUGAUCCCAGACCCACCGGGCAAACCGUCCGAAAGCAGCCGGUGCCUCCCCCUGCCCCCGCCCUUCCUCUCCGGACCUUUUACUCCCACAGUCUCUGUGCGGCUGGCUCCAGGAGGGCCCGGGGCUGCGGGGGAUGCUUGGACCCGGGCCGCGUGUUACACAACCCAGGGUUUCAUCAACCUGGUGGCCUUGUACGGAUUGCUGUUUUCUUGGGGAUGGUUUUUAUAUGGGCAGGAGUUGAAAUCUCACAUGCCUCCAGGGGCCCGACCAGAAGAGAAGGGACUUGAACAGGCAGGUGGAGGCAAUGGUUCGGCGCCUGGGCGGCUUAGAGAGACGGGGCAGCUGCCGGGAGGCUCCAGCUUCUUCCGGCGCCUGCAGACUGAUAGCCUCAAACUGCUACAUUUUUGAAUUUUUUUUUUUUUUAAAGAGAAGUCAGAAAUUUGGUUUUUGUUUUUGCUUUUUUUUAAAUCUGCUAUUUCCUCAUUUUUAAACGUGGAUGCAAAUUGUUUGAAAAUAAAGCGUCAGUGGGUCCAGCCAGCCCCCAGCUGUCCCUUGUGCACCCUCUGUGGUGCCUCAAGCAGGGCCCAGCUCCCCAAGACACGGCGAUGUGCACCUGCUCCAGUGACAUCACACUGCCCACCUGGCCAAGGAUGCACCCUCGAGGGGGCUGGGGCAGAAGACAGCAUGGCCGGCGAGGAGGGAGGGACGGGACCCGGAACGAGUUCCAGGUUGGGCUUUCAGACCCUGACCCCAACCCGGCACCUCCCAGCUGGCUCCCCCGUGGCUCCUUCCAGGAGCCCCUUAAACUCCGGACCCCAGGAUUCUGCCCAAGCCUUGCCGAACAGGAAUCCCGCAGGUCUGACCAGGAAUAUGUGCUCCAGAACACUUUCUAGUAACAUUUUCUAUCUUCUUGGGGUGUUGGUUUACCAAGUGUAUGUGUUUGUCUGAACUCACCAAGUGCCUUGCUUCAUUGUGUUUAAUUUUAUAGAAAGAAGGAAAGGAAGGAAGACAGGGAAAGGAAGAGGGAGGCUGAGCCAACACCCACGUCUCCGCCUCCUGGUCCCGUAUGACUGAUGCCCGGGGUGUCUCAAACCUUUCCUCUCGUGGUCUCCCCAUCACUGUUCCCGUACUCACUAUUUCUCUUUAAAUAGACUCACCUAAUGGGAAAACCAGCCACAAAUCCAAGGUAGGCGUAAAAACAAAUACAAUGUAACAAAAUACCACAUCAGGGGUCCAGCAGGUUCUCUGACUGUCAGAGGAUGGGAACCAGGUCUAUGGACACAGAGAAGGAAAAUCACGGGGGUCCACACCUGAUGGGGGCGGAAGCUUCUCGCUACACAAUUCAGCGUCAUUUCACACAGGGUCUGUGAUCCCGAGUCGCCUCUGGGGAUCGCCUCUGAGGCACCGGUCUGUGCUUCAGCAAGGACGCCCUGCACCCCACUGACCGCGGGCCGCUAGCCUGGGAAUGAGGCCCUCC